UUGGGUUUCUUGUCACCUCAGGCC
This 24-nucleotide non-coding RNA is filed under the name Rattus norvegicus (Norway rat). The record is from RNAcentral. Lineage: Eukaryota; Metazoa; Chordata; Mammalia; Rodentia; Muridae.